UACAGAGGGUGCGAGCGUUGUCCGGAAUCACUGGGCGUAAAGGGCGCGUAGGUGGCGACCCAAGUCGAUGGUGAAAGCUCGCCGCUCAACGGCGAGUCGGCCACCGAUACUGGGUUGCUGGAGCACUGUAGAGGCAGAUGGAAUUCCGGGUGUAGCGGUGGAAUGCGUAGAGAGUCCGGAAGAACACCGGUGGCGAAGGCGGGUCUCUGGGCAACAACUGGACGCUGAGGAGCGAAAGCGUGGGGAGCGAACAGG
RNAcentral lists this ribosomal RNA (255 nucleotides) under uncultured bacterium. Its description in RNAcentral is "partial 16S ribosomal RNA". It matches the Rfam family "Bacterial small subunit ribosomal RNA", at positions 524 to 776 of the family's 1533-position model. The record is from RNAcentral.